This 236-nucleotide unclassified non-coding RNA is filed under the name Hevea brasiliensis (rubber tree). The record is from RNAcentral. Lineage: Eukaryota; Viridiplantae; Streptophyta; Magnoliopsida; Malpighiales; Euphorbiaceae.
GCUUGCACCCAACUAUUACACAUAGAAGUAAAACAGACAUUUAGUAACACACAUGGGAUCUUGGACAAACAAACAAGUAUAUAAUUAGUGAGGAAUAUAUACCUUAUUAUUCCAAAGACCCAUUAAUAGAAUUUGAAAAUAAAGAGGAGGCAAUACAAUCAAACACAUCAAAAGAAAAAUGUAUAAACAUGAGAUGAAAUCCUUUUGUCAACGUUAAUCACAAAACAGAAGGCAAG